CCUACGGGAUGCUGCAGUGGGGAAUAUUGGACAAUGGGCGAAAGCCUGAUCCAGCCAUGCCGCGUGUGUGAAGAAGGCCUUCGGGUUGUAAAGCACUUUCAGUGGGGAAGAAAGCCUUGGGGCUAAUACCCUCGAGGAAGGACAUCACCCACAGAAGAAGCACCGGCUAACUCCGUGCCAGCAGCCGCGGUAAUACGGAGGGUGCGAGCGUUAAUCGGAAUUACUGGGCGUAAAGCGCGCGUAGGCGGUCUGAUAAGCCGGUUGUGAAAGCCCCGGGCUCAACCUGGGAACGGCAUCCGGGACUGUCAGGCUUGAGUGCAGGAGAGGAAGGUAGAAUUCCCGGUGUAGCGGUGAAAUGCGUAGAGAUCGGGAGGAAUACCAGUGGCGAAGGCGGCCCUCUGGACUGACACUGACGCUGAGGUGCGAAAGCGUGGGUAGCAAACAGGAUUAGAUACCCUAGUAGUC
Molecule: ribosomal RNA, 465 nt
Filed under: Vreelandella stevensii
Lineage: Bacteria; Pseudomonadati; Pseudomonadota; Gammaproteobacteria; Oceanospirillales; Halomonadaceae
Description: partial 16S ribosomal RNA
Rfam family: Bacterial small subunit ribosomal RNA
Source: RNAcentral